RNAcentral lists this ribosomal RNA (459 nucleotides) under uncultured Sphingobacteriales bacterium. RNAcentral's name for it is "bacterial SSU rRNA". It matches the Rfam family "Bacterial small subunit ribosomal RNA", at positions 923 to 1382 of the family's 1533-position model. The record is from RNAcentral. Lineage: Bacteria; Pseudomonadati; Bacteroidota; Sphingobacteriia; Sphingobacteriales.
GCACAAGCGGAGGAGCAUGUGGUUUAAUUCGAUGAUACGCGAGGAACCUUACCUGGGCUCGAACGUAAGAUGACUGUAGGUGAAAGCUUACAUCUCUUCGGAGCAUUUUACGAGGUGCUGCAUGGUUGUCGUCAGCUCGUACCGUGAGGUGUCGGGUUAAGUCCCAUAACGAGCGCAACCCCUACCUUUAGUUGCCAUCAGGUAAUGCUGGGGACUCUAAAGGAACUGCCUACGCAAGUAGUGAGGAAGGCGGGGAUGACGUCAAAUCAGCACGGCCCUUACGUCCAGGGCUACACACGUGCUACAAUGGCCGAUACAGAGGGCAGCUACCUGGUGACAGGAUGCAAAUCUCCAAAGUCGGUCUCAGUUCGGAUCGGAGUCUGCAACCCGACUCCGUGAAGUUGGAUUCGCUAGUAAUCGCGCAUCAGCCAUGGCGCGGUGAAUACGUUCCCGGGCCUU